AACGAACGCUGGCGGCGUGCCUAACACAUGCAAGUCGAGCGAUUCUCUUCGGAGAAGAGCGGCGGACGGGUGAGUAACGCGUGGGUAACCUGCCUCAUACACAUGGAUAACAUACCGAAAGGUAUGCUAAUACAGGAUAAUAUAAGAGAUUCACAUGGAUUUCUAUCAAAGCUCCGGCGGUAUGAGAUGGACCCGCGUCUGAUUAGCUAGUUGGUAAGGUAAUGGCUUACCAAGGCGACGAUCAGUAGCCGACCUGAGAGGGUGAUCGGCCACAUUGGAACUGAGACACGGUCCAAACUCCUACGGGUGCUG
This 312-nucleotide ribosomal RNA is filed under the name uncultured Bacillota bacterium. Its description in RNAcentral is "bacterial SSU rRNA". It matches the Rfam family "Bacterial small subunit ribosomal RNA", at positions 29 to 351 of the family's 1533-position model. The record is from RNAcentral. Lineage: Bacteria; Bacillati; Bacillota.